Molecule: non-coding RNA, 223 nt
Organism: Pelobates cultripes (western spadefoot toad)
Lineage: Eukaryota; Metazoa; Chordata; Amphibia; Anura; Pelobatidae
Source: the annotation of a GenBank genome assembly
UUUUUUUUUUUUCUUUUUUUCAUAUAGCUUAUUGGUUAAAGCCCCAGCUAGCAAAAGCAGGUGUGAUUUUCACCAAAAGCAGUGUAGAUGCAAGCAAAUCAAAAAGAUAUUCCAAAUAAUGGCUGUUAUACCUUGUGUGUUCUCCUGCCUACCUGACAAUAAAGGCAGAAUUCUACUUCAUUAAAAAGCUGCUCUGCUCACACCUGGGCAUCUUGGUAUUUUA